Small nucleolar RNA from Gastrolobium bilobum, 107 nucleotides. Lineage: Eukaryota; Viridiplantae; Streptophyta; Magnoliopsida; Fabales; Fabaceae. The record is from RefSeq and is a predicted model, not a curated record.
AUUCCAUGUUGAGGACACUUCCUGAGUAAUCCUUUAAAUCGGUCCCAAGCUUCGUACAGAGAUUCGUUUUCUUUUUGUUCAAAAGCGAUGAUUUCUGAUUUGAGCCU